UGCUCGAGUGGCGAACGGGUGAGUAACGCGUGAGUAACCUGCCCUUGACUUUGGGAUAACUUCAGGAAACUGGGGCUAAUACCGGAUAGGAGCUCCUGCUGCAUGGUGGGGGUUGGAAAGUUUCGGCGGUUGGGGAUGGACUCGCGGCUUAUCAGCUUGUUGGUGGGGUAGUGGCUUACCAAGGCUUUGACGGGUAGCCGGCCUGAGAGGGUGACCGGCCACAUUGGGACUGAGAUACGGCCCAG
Molecule: ribosomal RNA, 245 nt
Filed under: uncultured Actinomycetales bacterium
Lineage: Bacteria; Bacillati; Actinomycetota; Actinomycetes; Actinomycetales
Description: partial 16S ribosomal RNA
Rfam family: Bacterial small subunit ribosomal RNA
Source: RNAcentral